Molecule: non-coding RNA, 1057 nt
Organism: Arachis ipaensis
Lineage: Eukaryota; Viridiplantae; Streptophyta; Magnoliopsida; Fabales; Fabaceae
Source: RefSeq, a predicted model, not a curated record
CUAUGGCCAAGAAAUGAAGGACAAAAUUGUCAAUCCACCAAAAAACUAAUUACCGAAGAGAAUCCAAGAAACUAGCCAGAUUUUACGUGAUCAAAUUUGUUUGAAUUCACUCAGAAGUCAAAAGCAUUACAUGGCUGACCAAAGAACUCUUAAAUCCAUGGUUCUGAAAACCGGACCGGACCGGCUGGUUCAACCGGAAAAACCGGGAACCGGUCACUUAACCGGUCCGAGUGACGCUAAUAACCGCCUGGCAAAAAACCGGCUAAAAAAUCGGUCGAACCGGCGAACCGGAAGAACCGUCCGGUUUUUUAGCGGUUCAAUAGUUUGCAAAUUCAUAUGCCAAACGACGUCGUUUUGGCAUUUUAAAAAAAAAAAAAAGAAAACAGAAUAACGUUCGCCUAACCCUAAUCUGAUACUCCCCCCCCCUUUCUUCCCCUUUCUGGCUUUCUUCCCCAAUCCCCAGUUCCCUUUCUUCCCCAGAAUCGGCGCCAGCGUCCAUAGCCACCGGCCACCCACAGCGCGCCAGCGUCCAUAGCCACCCGCCACCCACAGCCAUCAAGGCCAUAGCCGAGCCCGCGACCACCACUGGCCGAGCCCGCCUCCUCGUCGCCACCCACAACCAUCGACAGCAACAGCUACCACCACCGGCCGAGCCCGCCUCCUCGUCGCCACCCACAACCAUCGACAGCAGCCAACGACCACCGGCCGAGCUCGCCUCCUUCCGAAAUAGUUUUCUGGUCUUUGGUUUUCUGAUUGUUAUAGAUGGAACAAUCACAAAGUAACCCACAGCCACAAGAUUCUCAAACUGGUUCAUCCAGAGGUAAAUCCGAUCCAGCUUGGAAUAAUUAUGAUUUUUGAUGAGUUGCAUCUUUGAUUAGUUGAAAACUUGCUAGUAAUUGUAUCUUUUGAACGUAGAACAUUAUGGGUUUGUCAUUAUGUACGUUUUAUUUUUUGUUUAGUUAUAAACUUUGAUGUUUGAAGUUGUUUGGGAACUUCUAAUAUUAAGUAAUGGAUAAUUUAUUAUGUGAAAUAUUAAAUUUUAUUAAGUUAGAAAUUA